CCUUCGGUUGAUCCCGCCGGAGGCCACUGCUAUUGGGGUUCGACUAAGCCAUGCGAGUCUAUGGACUUCGGGCCAUGGCGGACGGCUCAGUAACACGUGGCUAACCUACCCUCAGGUGGGGGAUAACCUUGGGAAACUGAGGAUAAUACCCCAUAGGGGAUGAGGUCUGGAAUGAUCCUUCCCUGAAAGGACAUCCGCCUGAGGAUGGGGCUGCGUCCGAUUAGGUAGUUGGCGGGGUAAUGGCCCACCAAGCCUACGAUCGGUACGGGCCUUGAGAGAGGAAGCCCGGAGAUGGGGACUGAGACACGGCCCCAGGCCCUACGGGGCGCAGCAGGCGCGAAACCUCCACAAUGCACGAAAGUGCGAUGGGGGGACCCCAAGUGCUUAUGCACAGCAUAGGCUUUUCCCAAGUGUAAAUAGCUUGGGGAAUAAGGGCUGGGCAAGUCCGGUGCCAGCAGCCGCGGUAACACCGGCGGCCCGAGUGGUGGCCACUCUUAUUGGGCCUAAAGCGUCCGUAGCCGGUCCAGUAAGUCCCUGUUUAAAUCCUACGGCUCAACCGUAGGGCUGGCAGGGAUACUGCUGGACUUGGGACCGGGAGAGGACGAGGGUACUCCA
RNAcentral lists this ribosomal RNA (615 nucleotides) under uncultured archaeon. Its description in RNAcentral is "bacterial SSU rRNA". It matches the Rfam family "Archaeal small subunit ribosomal RNA", at positions 1 to 622 of the family's 1478-position model. The record is from RNAcentral.